Non-coding RNA from Pelobates cultripes (western spadefoot toad), 202 nucleotides. NCBI's taxonomy places the organism in Eukaryota, Metazoa, Chordata, Amphibia, Anura, Pelobatidae. The record is from the annotation of a GenBank genome assembly.
GCGGAAGUGGCUGUCAAAUUCCAGCUUUUUGGCUUGUGUAUGUGGCAGUAUUGUGGCCGUGAGUCUCCUCAGGUACUGUGGUAAUUCGGAUGAUCCCACUGCAUCAGGGAUACCCCGGAUCUUAAUAUGUGUGCGCCUGCUGCGAUCUUCCAUGGCGUCUAGCGUGUUUUGGAGCGCUGAGUUCGCUGUCUGUAAAUGUUUC